AAGACAAUACUUUCAGGGAUCAUUUCUAUAGUAUGUGACUAGAGAAGUUUCUCUGAUCGUGUAGAGCACCCAAAGCCACGAGGAGGAGCCAGAGUAUCCUCUCCUGAGCUCUAGGUGUUGCUUUUGCGACCGCCUUUUGCCAUUGAUUAUCGUUCUUCCCUUCCUUUGGAAGGGAUAGAAAAAAUAAAAAAACAAACAAGUGGA
Suncus etruscus (white-toothed pygmy shrew) is the source of this 204-nucleotide small nucleolar RNA. RefSeq annotates it as small nucleolar RNA U3. The record is from RefSeq and is a predicted model, not a curated record. The transcript has a single exon. NCBI's taxonomy places the organism in Eukaryota, Metazoa, Chordata, Mammalia, Eulipotyphla, Soricidae.